ACAGGAGCGAAUCCCAAACCACGUCUCAGUUCGGAUCGGAGUCUGCAACCCGACUCCGUGAAGCUGGAUUCGCUAGUAAUCGCGCAUCAGCCAUGGCGCGGUGAAUACGUUCCCGGGCCUUGUACACACCGCCCGUCAAGCCAUGGGAGCCGGGGGUACCUGAAGUCCGUAACCGAAAGGAUCGGCCUAGGGUAAAACUGGUGACUGGGGCUAAGUCGUAACAAGGUACC
Molecule: ribosomal RNA, 230 nt
Filed under: uncultured bacterium
Lineage: Bacteria
Description: partial 16S ribosomal RNA
Rfam family: Bacterial small subunit ribosomal RNA
Source: RNAcentral